AGUGAACGCUGGCGGUAGGCCUAACACAUGCAAGUCGAACGGCAGCACAGUAAGAGCUUGCUCUUACGGGUGGCGAGUGGCGGACGGGUGAGGAAUACAUCGGAAUCUACUUUUUCGUGGGGGAUAACGUAGGGAAACUUACGCUAAUACCGCAUACGACCUACGGGUGAAAGCAGGGGAUCUUCGGACCUUGCGCGAUUGAAUGAGCCGAUGUCGGAUUAGCUAGUUGGCGAGGUAAAGGCCCACCAAGGCGACGAUCCGUAGCUGGUCUGAGAGGAUGAUCAGCCACACUGGAACUGAGACACGGUCCAGACUCCUACGGGAGGCAGCAGUGGGGAAUAUUGGACAAUGGGCGCAAGCCUGAUCCAGCAAUACCGCGUGAGUGAAGAAGGCCUUCGGGUUGUAAAGCCCUUUUGUUGGGAAAGAAAAGCAGCAGGUUAAUACCCCGAUGUUCUGACGGUACCCAAAGAAUAAGCACCGGCUAACUUCGUG
RNAcentral lists this ribosomal RNA (492 nucleotides) under uncultured bacterium. RNAcentral describes it as "partial 16S ribosomal RNA". It matches the Rfam family "Bacterial small subunit ribosomal RNA", at positions 29 to 507 of the family's 1533-position model. The record is from RNAcentral.